GACGAACGCUGGCGGCGGGCUUAACACAUGCGAGUCGAACGGAAAGGCCCUGCUUUUGUGUGGUGCUCGAGUGGCGAACGGGUGAGUAACACGUGAGUAACCUGCCCUUGACUUUGGGAUAACUUCAGGAAACUGGUGCUAAUACCGGAUAGGAGCUCCUGCUGCAUGGUGGGGGUUGGAAAGUUUCGGCGGUUGGGGAUGGACUCGCGGCUUAUCAGCUUGUUGGUGGGGUAGUGGCUUACCAAGGCUUUGACGGGUAGCCGGCAUGAGAGGGUGACCGCCGACAUUGGGACUGAGAUACGGCCCAGACUCGUACGGGAGGCAGCAGUGGGGAAUAUUGCACAAUGGGCGGAAGCCUGAUGCAGCAACGCCGCGUGCGGGAUGACGGCCUUCGGGUUGUAAACCGCUUUCGCCUGUGACGAAGCGUGAGUGACGGUAAUGGGUAAAGAAGCACCGGCUAACUACGUG
Molecule: ribosomal RNA, 468 nt
Filed under: uncultured bacterium
Lineage: Bacteria
Description: partial 16S ribosomal RNA
Rfam family: Bacterial small subunit ribosomal RNA
Source: RNAcentral